GACGAACGCUGGCGGCGUGCCUAAUACAUGCAAGUAGAACGCUCAAGCAGGAGCUUUCUCUUCUGGAUGAGUUGCGAACGGGUGAGUAACGCGUAGGUAACCUGCCUGUUAGCGGGGGAUAACUAUUGGAAACGAUAGCUAAUACCCCAUAACAGUAGAUGUUGCAUGACAUUUGCUUAAAAGGUGCAAUUUCAUUACUACCAGAUGGACCUUCGUUGUAUUAGCUAGUUGGUGGUGUAACGGCUCACCAAGGCGACGAUACAUAGCCGACCUGAUGGGGGGAUCGGCCACACUGGGAAUGAGACACGGCCCAGACUCCUACGGGAGGGAGCAGUAGGGAAUCUUCGGCAAUGGACGGAAGGCUGAACGAGCAACGCCGCGUGAGGGAAGAAGGGUCUCGGAUCGUAAAGAUCUGUUGUAAGAGGAGAACGAGUGUGAGAGUGGAAAGUUCACACUGUGACGGUAUCUAACCAGAAAGGGACGGCUAACUACGUG
RNAcentral lists this ribosomal RNA (495 nucleotides) under uncultured bacterium. RNAcentral describes it as "partial 16S ribosomal RNA". It matches the Rfam family "Bacterial small subunit ribosomal RNA", at positions 28 to 507 of the family's 1533-position model. The record is from RNAcentral.